RNAcentral lists this ribosomal RNA (1496 nucleotides) under uncultured bacterium. RNAcentral's name for it is "bacterial SSU rRNA". It matches the Rfam family "Bacterial small subunit ribosomal RNA". The record is from RNAcentral.
AGAGUUUGAUCCUGGCUCAGAACGAACGCUGGCGGCGUGGAUAAGACAUGCAAGUCGAACGAAUGUUCUUCGGAACAUUAGUGGCGAACGGGUGAGUAUCACGUGAGAAUCUGCCGAGAAGUUUGGAAUAACUCAUCGAAAGGUGAGCUAAUACCGAAUGUGGAACAUGUUCUAAAGGUGGGGACCUUCGGGCCUGCCGCUUCUCGAUGAGCUCGCGUCCUAUCAGUUAGUUGGUGAGGUAAUGGCUUACCAAGACGAAGACGGGUAACUGGUCUGAGAGGACGAUCAGUCACACUGGAACUGAGACACGGUCCAGACAACUACGGUUGGCAGCAGUCGAGAAUCAUUCACAAUGGGGGAAACCCUGAUGGUGCGACGCCGCGUGGGGGAUGAAGGGCCUAGGUCCGUAAACCCCUGUCAUUUGUGAGAAAUUGACCCGAAUUAAUACCUCGGGUUUUGAUAGUAGCAAAAGAGGAAGGGACGGCUAACUCCGUGCCAGCAGCCGCGGUAAUACGGAGGUCCCAAGCGUUGUUCGGAUUUACUGGGCGUAAAGGGUGCGCAGGCGGUGGGCAAAGUUCGAUGUGAAAGCUCCGAGCUCAACUCGGAAACUGCAUUGAAAACUAAUUCACUAGAGGAUCGGAGAGGGGAGUGGAAUUCUUGGUGUAGCAGUGAAAUGCGUAGAUAUCAAGAGGAACACCAGUGGCGAAGGCGACUCCCUGGACGUAUCCUGACGCUGAGGCACGAAGGCUAGGGUAGCAAACAGGAUUAGAUACCCUGGUAGUCCUAGCAGUAAACGGUGCGCACUUGCUGUGGGCGGAUUCGACCCCGCCCGUGGCGGAGCUAACGCGUUAAGUGCGCCGCCUGAGGAGUACGGUCGCAAGGUUAAAACUCAAAGAAAUUGACGGGGGCCUGCACAAGCGGUGGAGUAUGUGGCUUAAUUCGAUGCAACGCGAAGAACCUUACCUGGGUUUGACAUGCAUCUCUAAGUCUGUGAAAGCAGGCGAGUCUUCGGACAAUUUGCACAGGUGCUGCAUGGCUGUCGUCAGCUCGUGUCGUGAGAUGUUGGGUUAAGUCCCGCAACGAGCGCAACCCUCGUGUCCUGUUGCCACUUCCGCAAGCGCGGAAAGCACUCUGGACAGACUGCCUCGCCAAAACGGGGAGGAAGGGGGGGAUGACGUCAAGUCUGUAUGGCCCUUACGCCCAGGGCUGCACACGUACUACAAUGCCAAGUACAAUAGGUUGCCAACCCGUGAGGGGGAGCUAAUCCUUAAAGCUUGGCCCAGUUCAGAUUGUAGUCUGCAACUCGACUACAUGAAGCCGGAAUCGCUAGUAAUGGUGGAUCAGCUACGUCACCGUGAAUACGUUCCCAGGCCUUGUACACACCGCCCGUCACAUCAUGAAAGCCGGUCGUGCCCGAAGUCGGUGCGCUAACCCCUCGGGGAAGCAGCCGCCGAAGGUAUGGCUGGUGAUUGGGAUGAAGUCGUAACAAGGUAACC